UCCUCCACCCCCUCUCCAUCCUAAUGAGGCUUCCCUACGCAAAAACUCCAUGGCGGGGUAGGCUCCCUUUCGACAUGGGUCACGCCGGUUUCACAAGAGUCUAGGCAAGUGGCGGCCAAGAUUGAACUUCCAAAACACUCUCUAGAUCUAGCGACAAACAGCCAAACCACCACUUACUCGAGCCUCCGCACCAUGAUUGCUACAUCAAGAGGUCGGCAGAGGGGGUGUGCAGUCAUGCUACAAUUCUUGUGGGCAAAUCGUGUGAAGUGGAAUGUUCUUGAGUGAGGGCAUACAUGGAUCACAAUGACUAUGCUCCAAGCUUUGCAAUGUCACAUGAAAGAGCGCUCCCUCUGCCAUCUUUAAUGACAGAUUGCUCCCUCUCCAUUAAUGAUUCAACCAUCCAAAAAACUUUCCUGGCCGGUCUGACAUGGGUCACACAUGGGGGUUUAGGCUAGUGGCAUAUCGACCUAAUUGACCUUCCAAAACACACUCAAAAUCUAGUGACAAACGCCCCACCUACCACUUAGUCAAGGCUCCCCAGCAUGGUUGUUAUGUCAAGAGGUCGCUGGAGGGGGUGGGUUAUGCUUUAGACCUUGUGGUCUACAAGCCUCACGAGUGGAAGCUCCCAUGAGUGAAGGAAUACAUGGAGCACAACGACCAAGGUGUUUCAAGAAGAAAAAUUAAUUGGCUCUUAGGAGAUCCAGGUAGGGCUUAAGAGGACAAUGUUUGAUCAUUCAAAAUUGGUCAGGUACCACCCAUGGACUUGUGUAGAAAGGAUGAUUUCAAUCACCCAUGUCAUCGAGGUUGCGAAGAGGAAAUUCAAGAUAUUCACCCUGAUAAAAAUAUAGGCUUGAAGCACGCGUACAUUUUGUGAUAAUGGCCAAGCGAAGAUGGGCUUAAAUGAAAAGGCUUUCCAUAUUGUUAGAUGAAUGGACAAAACUGGAGGUGUUCAUCAAUUGAUUGUGACCUGGAGAAGGCUUCCAACUUGGAGCAAAGAUUGAUGUCGCCAUCAAGUUUAGGUGGAUUAACGCAAGACAAAGGUAUGCAUACAAUUUAACCAAUUUAUGGGUGAAGCCAACCUCACCAAUGACAAAUAAAUACAAUAUAAAAACAUUUGACGAUGGACAGAUUUACCAAUACUGAUUUGAUAUUGCAAAUGUUGACAUAUUUUCUUCAAACUUGAUCAUACGUUAAAAGUUUGUCUUCAGACUAAAUAUACAGGCUUUAGGUUUUGAAGCGGGAAAAUAUGUUGCAACCUGUAAUCUUCAUAUGCCACAUAAAUAAAUUGCCUAUGUUGCAAAAAAGAUGUCCAACAUAGACUUCCACAAAUAAUUCAACCAGGAGCCAUGUUUUCAUGAAAGACAGAGUAGAAACAACUUACACAUGCUAAGUGACAAAUGAGUGAGUUAUAAUUGGAGUCUCCAAGUGAUCAAGACAAACCUAGAAACAAUACAGGUACGCUCAACCUUCACACUAACUUUUGGCACAAGAAGACGCACAAAACCCUAUCUUUUUAUAACUCAAAUAGUUGAACAAGUAUAGGUAAUCAUACUACUUUCAUAUUAUGCACAUUCAAGUUUCCAUCACACUAGAAUAAUUAUUGUGACCUUCUAGCAUGGAUUAUGUGUCGAGCAGCUAGUCGAUACUAGUUAUGUUACAGUCAUCCAAUCGUAACAUGAUUGUCGACUAGGUGUCUCGACUCGACUCAUAGAGGUAGCCGAUCGAUUACUCAAUUAGCCAAUGACUAACCUAACCAGUCGAGAUUUUUGCGUCGAGCAACUUCCUUUUGUAAGAGGGGCACACCGUCCGGUGUUUGGGCCAAGAGGAUAGGGCCAUGCUCAUGGAACCCUAACUCCAAAAUGAGCUCUCCUGUCCAGCACCCAUCUAGCCGCAUCUCCCCUAGCCACCACCAUUGUCGAUGUGCAUGUGGCAACGACCCGUUGUCGCCUUUUACCGCCAUACUGUCCACCACAAUUACUCGAGUCGGCACCCCGCCAACUCAUCUUGACUCAUAUUUCUUGCUUUGUAUUGCAAAAAUCACAAAUAUCUAUCACAAUAUUGGACUGUGACCAACUACCAUAUUCGCAUGGAAAUCACGAGCCCCAUUAAGAUGAUGGUUCUUCGCUUGGCCUGCGGCCAAGAACCGAUGCUGGACCUCAGAUAGGUUGGCGCGCAGAGGCUGUCGCAUCAGGAGUGAAUGGAUCGAGAAGAGGUGUCUAGAGGGGGGUGAAUAGACUCUUAGCAAGAAAAGUUGCUGUUUUUUAAAUUCUUUAAGUUGAAGUGGAGUUUUAGCACAAGUUCAAACAUUCUUAUCACAA
Molecule: non-coding RNA, 2318 nt
Organism: Aegilops tauschii subsp. strangulata
Lineage: Eukaryota; Viridiplantae; Streptophyta; Magnoliopsida; Poales; Poaceae
Source: RefSeq, a predicted model, not a curated record